This 446-nucleotide ribosomal RNA is filed under the name uncultured bacterium. Its description in RNAcentral is "bacterial SSU rRNA". It matches the Rfam family "Bacterial small subunit ribosomal RNA", at positions 330 to 793 of the family's 1533-position model. The record is from RNAcentral.
CCCAGACUCCUACGGGAGGCAGCAGUGGGGAAUAUUGCACAAUGGGGGAAACCCUGAUGCAGCGACGCCGCGUGAGUGAAGAAGUAAUUCGUUAUGUAAAGCUCUCUCAGCAGGGAAGAAAAUGACGGUACCUGAGUAAGAAGCCCCGGCUAACUACGUGCCAGCAGCCGCGGUAAUACGUAGAGGGCAAGCGUUAUCCGGAUUUACUGGGUGUAAAGGGAGCGUAGGCGGUUUAGCAAGUCAGAAGUGAAAGCCCGGGGCUCAACUCCGGGACUGCUUUUGAAACUGUUGAACUAGAUUGCAGGAGAGGUAAGUGGAAUUCCUAGUGUAGCGGUGAAAUGCGUAGAUAUUAGGAGGAACACCAGUGGCGAAGGCGGCUUACUGGACGACAACUGACGGUGAGGCGCGAAAGCGUGGGGAGCAAACAGGAUUAGAUACCCCCGUAU